AACGAACGCUGGCGGCAGGCCUAACACAUGCAAGUCGAGCGAGGACUUCGGUUCUAGCGGCGGACGGGUGAGUAACGCGUGGGAAUGUGCCCUUCUCUACGGAAUAGCCCUGGGAAACUGGGAGUAAUACCGUAUACGCCCUAUUGGGGAAAGAUUUAUCGGAGAAGGAUCAGCCCGCGUUGGAUUAGGUAGUUGGUGGGGUAAUGGCCUACCAAGCCGACGAUCCAUAGCUGGUUUGAGAGGAUGAUCAGCCAGACUGGGACUGAGACACGGCCCAGACUCCUACGGGAGGCAGCAGUGGGGAAUCUUAGACAAUGGGGGCAACCCUGAUCUAGCCAUGCCGCGUGAGUGAUGAAGGCCUUAGGGUUGUAAAGCUCUUUCAGCUGGGAAGAUAAUGACGGUACCAGCAGAAGAAGCCCCGGCUAACUCCGUG
This 433-nucleotide ribosomal RNA is filed under the name uncultured bacterium. RNAcentral's name for it is "partial 16S ribosomal RNA". It matches the Rfam family "Bacterial small subunit ribosomal RNA", at positions 29 to 507 of the family's 1533-position model. The record is from RNAcentral.